CAAUGGGAAGUUUUCCUAUCCCUGUGUGAUGAAUAGAUUGAUUAAAGCUCAUCAUUUUUUACAUGAAAAGCUGAUCAGUGAAAACAAUAGGUCACAAUCGUGAUUCAUCAGUGCUUAAACAUUUACAUGUAGUGUUUUACCUGCGCUGUUGUCUCGCAUACACUAAAGUUAAAGCCAAUAUUGAGCCCCUCCCUCUCUCAGGACAGGUAUAUGUGCUCAUGCGAUCUUGACACAGGCAAAGUGCUGUUGAUGACUUUAAUCGAAGUUGGGAAACUACAUAGGAAUACCUAGCUGGGGCACAAGAAACUGGGAAGGUUUUCAAUUGCUCAAUUGAAGUCAAGAUGGGAAACGAACUGUCUACUGAAAUAAAUCAUGUGCAGGCAAACUUCGCUGAUAUUAAAAUCCAAAAUGGAGAACUGAAUGGACAUGCAGUUCAAUCUUCAGAAGAGCCCGAGUCUGG
Long non-coding RNA from Paramisgurnus dabryanus, 460 nucleotides. RefSeq lists it as uncharacterized. NCBI's taxonomy places the organism in Eukaryota, Metazoa, Chordata, Actinopteri, Cypriniformes, Cobitidae. The record is from RefSeq and is a predicted model, not a curated record.